CCUACGGGCGACAGCAGUGGGGAAUAUUGCGCAAUGGGCGAAAGCCUGACGCAGCGACGCCGCGUGAGGGAUGCAGGUCUUCGGAUCGUAAACCUCUGUCAGCAGGGAAGAACGGUCACUGUGCUAAUCAGCAGUGACUUGACGGUACCUGCAAAGGAAGCACCGGCUCACUCCGUGCCAGCAGCCGCGGUAAUACGGAGGGUUCGCGCGUUAAUCGGACUUACUGGGCGUAAAGCGCUCGUAGGCGGUAUGUCAAGUCAAGGGUGAAAUCCCCGCGCUCAACGUGGGAACUGCCUUUGAAACUGGCAAAAUGGAGGGUGUGAGAGGAUAGUGGAAUUCCAGGUGUAGGAGUGAAAUCCGUAGAUAUCUGGAGGAAAAUCAGUGGCGAAGGCGACUAUCUGGCACAUAACUGACGCUGAGGAGCGAAAGCGUGGGUAGCAAACAGGAUUAGAUACCCGGGUAGUC
Molecule: ribosomal RNA, 465 nt
Filed under: uncultured bacterium
Lineage: Bacteria
Description: partial 16S ribosomal RNA
Rfam family: Bacterial small subunit ribosomal RNA
Source: RNAcentral